RNAcentral lists this ribosomal RNA (460 nucleotides) under Samoana fragilis. RNAcentral describes it as "partial 16S ribosomal RNA". The stretch from base 1 to 141 matches the Rfam family "Archaeal large subunit ribosomal RNA", at positions 1901 to 2087 of the family's 2987-position model. The record is from RNAcentral. Lineage: Eukaryota; Metazoa; Mollusca; Gastropoda; Stylommatophora; Partulidae.
AAAAACAUAGCCUGUUGAGAAUUUAUAAUAGGUGAGCACUGCCCAAUGAAAUUAUUUAAUGGCCGCAGUACUUUGACUGUGCUAAGGUAGCGUAAUAAUUUGACUUAUAAUUAAAGUCUAGUAUGAAAGUGUUUAUGGGGGAUAACUGUUUUAUAAAAACUAUAAAAAAAUUUCUUAAUAGGUGAAAAUUCCUUUAAAUAAUUAUAAUAGACGAGAAGACCCUAAGAAUUAUUAAUUAAUAUUUUAAAAUUAUUAUAAAAUUUUUGUUGGGGCAACAAAUUUAAUAAAUAAAUAAUUAUAGUAUAUAACAUAAUAAAUAUUUUUUAUAAGAAUUUAAUUACCUUAGGGAUAACAGCAUAAUUAAACUAUUAGAUUGUGACCUCGAUGUUGGACUAGGGACUUUUAAGGUUAGCCAUUUUAAAAGAUUGUUCUGUUCGAACAUAUAACCCUACAUGAUCUG